Molecule: long non-coding RNA, 31801 nt
Filed under: Citrus maxima (pomelo)
Lineage: Eukaryota; Viridiplantae; Streptophyta; Magnoliopsida; Sapindales; Rutaceae
Description: long non-coding RNA (CMAX_LNC003502)
Source: RNAcentral
UUUAAGGUUUCAAUUGAUCAAGUCCAAGAUCUCGAAUCGAAUCGAUAUUCAGAGGUGACGUCAAAAAAAAUCAACAGACAAAUUAUUUCUCAGCUGAUUAAUUUAUAUGGGCUGACUAACUUGGGUGGACGAAUACCUGCCUAUGAUGGUAUGAAGAGCAUUUACACGGCAGGGCCGCUGCCUUUUGUAUCGAAGGAAUUCAUUAUCAAUUUACCUGAUAGUGAUCCUCGUCCCAGCUCGUCUACCAGCCCGGGGUAUCUCAUGCUUUUAACAUGUGUGUUUCUUGAAUAUUGUUGAUUGUGAGUUUUCUUGAUUUAAUGUGUCUGAGUAAUUUCUUAUGCAGAAGGGAGCAUCAGUUUAGGGUGGUUAUCAGAUUGGCAUCGAAGCCUGAUCUUUACACUCUACAGCAGUUCUUACGCCGAAGGCAUUUUGAAGCUCCGUACCAUGUUAUACAAGUGCUUGAUGUUGUUCUCAGAGCAGCUCCAUCAGAGAAGUAUUUAACCUUAACCGUGUUAAUAAAAGUUUCACUUUUUGGUUUGUUUGAUAUAGGAUGUUGCCUGCCCAUGCCGGCAUUUGCUUGUUCAUGCAACUGAUUUAGCAUUUUAUUUCUGAGGAAAAAUUUUAAUAUUGUCUAUUUUAUGUCUUGAACAAUUUAGGUUUUAGAUUGAUUAAUUAAUGAAAUGAUGAACUUCUGCAUCAGGCAUACAGUUCUGGGAAGGUCAUUUUUCUCAACUGAUCUUGGACCAAUGGGUCAGCUUGGUGAUGACGUUGAGUAUUGGCGUGGAUAUUUUCAGAGUCUUCGCCCAACCCAGAUGGGGCUAUCUCUUAAUAUUGGUAUUUCUCAUUAUAUUUUAUAUAAUUUGAUGCUGCUUCUCUUUUAUAUUAUGCAAACUUGAUUUUCUUUUUCGGUGCAACGUUGCUACAUAAAUAUUUGCUUUUGCUGUUGCAGAUGUUUCAGCCAGCUCCUUUUAUAAGCCAAUUCUAGUUACUGAGUUUGUUCAGUAUUAUUGCAGCGACUUAUCACGUCCUCUUUCUGAUCAAGUGCGUCUCAAGGUAUUGUCUAGUCUUCUUUCGUGAUGUCAUGGUUAUAAUUAAUUUAGUAUCAAUUUAAUGAGCUAUCUAUUGGGCGGUUAAAAGUUUUAAUUAAGGGCUGCAGCACUGUAAUAUAUUUGUGAUAAGAGCCUUUUCAAAGAAUGAUCACAGAUUUGUUAGGCAAACCGUUCAGUAAUGUUUUAGAUGCUGUGUAUAAUUUAUUGCAAGUAAUUAGUAGUUUAAAAUUUCAAAUUUCUUGCAAAUUUUGGAUAGGGUAAUUUCUUAAUUUGUGGCUGAACUGGUGGGUGGUGAGUAGUGUCUGUUGUUCUCGGCCAUUGAAAUCUAAAUAGAAUGAGCUCCCAAGUCUAGGGGGAAUAGAAUGUUGAUGACAGUGUUUGAUGAUUAAUGUAGGAAGUUGGUGUAUAAUUUGGCCUAUAAUUCUGAUGAUAAAGAAAUGAGAUCUUGAAAUGGCGGUUUUAAAAAUCUUCCACGCAUUCAUUUGCAAUUGUACAGUUAUCUUGAUCAACUUAUUAUCAUUCCGCUACGUAUAUUAGCAAUCUUUUGAACUAUCUGUAAACUUUUUACUUUCGAUCUAUUUUGGCCGCUAUUUGACAACUGCCCUUUAAUUAUUUUCAAAAUUAUUGCUGGGAAUUGGAUAGAGACACGUGCUCAAUGAUAUUAAUAUAAUUGUUUAAUUCUUGACUUCUAGGUGAAAAAGGCAUUGAAGGGAAUAAAGGUAGUGCUCAGGCAUAUGGGGUACAACUUAAGUUGCAAGAUCACUGGAAUAACCAGUCAACCGAUGAGCCAAGUAAUGUAUGUGUGUGUGUAAUUAACUGAUAUACAAGUGUAAGAACACUGUCCAACUUGUGGUGAUAGAGUGUGAUAACAUAACUUGGUGGUUUGGUUGUGUUUAUGUUGGUCGAUUUGUUUAUGUUAGCUGAUUCUUGAGUCCCCCACGCCAUUUGAGAAGCAUACUUUAUGUUGCCUGCUUUUGUCGUCAUCUGAAAUCCACAUAUGGUUAAAUUUGUCUUCUGUGUUGUAUUUUAUGUAUGAUUGAACUACUUGGUGGUAAAAAGUUUGGCGGAUGUGUCUCAAAUCAAUUUCUCAAAUCUGAUAUGUGAUAGUAGUUGGCUACUAUGUAGUGCGAUGGUCACUUGAUAUUGCGUGUAACAGUGAUGUAUCCCUCCUUCCAUGUUAUAGUAGGCAUUCACGUUAUAUCUUCCCUUUGAUUGUAUUUGCUAGGUUUACUUCUGACAAUGAGACAAGGUCGGUGGUUCAAUAUUUUCUUGAAAAACAUAAAAUUGCGCUUCAAUUCACGUCAUUGCCUGCCCUUGAAGCUGGAACUGAAGAGAGGCGCAUUUAUUUGCCAAUGGAGGUUCUAUGAUCAAAAGACUACUUUCAUUCUUUGUGUCUGGAAAAUAAUUUAUUUAAGACUUAUUUAUAGAAUAUUUUUGUUUCCAGCUUUCUAGGAUUGUCGAGGGACAGAGAUAUACUAAAAGAUUAAAUGAAAGACAAGUAACUGCUCUUUUAAGAGCAACUUGUCAGCGUCCUCGGGAUCGUGAAGCAAAUAUACAGACGGUAGAGCAUUGUUGUAAUUUCUUACAUCUGUGGUGGAUCUUUUUUGGAUGAUUAAUCUGGGAGCUAUCUUCUUGUGAACAAAGAGAGUUUCUGAUUCUUGCUUCUGGGUUUGACAUUCUUCUGCAGAUGGCUAGGAAAAAUGCUUACAAUGAAGAUACUCUUGUGAACAAGAAGUUUGGAAUUCAAGUGGCUGAUGGUCUUACAUCGUUUGAUGCUCGAAUCCUACCUGCUCCAAUAGUAAUUAUGUGUCAUUUUGUUUUAUUUGUAACAGGAUUGUGGUACUUCCAAUCUCCUUGUGCUUAACUUUACCUCCUGUAAUGCUGCAGCUUAAAUAUCAUGAAUCUGGCAGAGAAGCAAGCGUGAAUCCUGAUUUUGGGCAAUGGAACAUGAUUAACAAGGUGAAUUACUGAUUAUUAUUUUAUUCCGUAGUUGUUGAUUUGUGCUUAGGAAGAGCAUACGGAAGCGGUUACCACUUGUUUAAUCUGGUUGAGGGAUGUUUAUUGACUGAUGGGUAGGAUGGGUUGGAAGUUGAUUUGCUACAUUUGAUGCAAUGUGGAUGUGCUGCAUUUCUUUUGCAACCAUAAUUUUUUAUUUUUUUUUUCCGUUUUAGCAUGCUGUAAUUUCUAUUUAGUUAUAUACUUUUUCAUCUUUGACAAGCAUUGUAUCUGAUAUUCACUUAGGUAUUCGGAUUGUAUGUGCUUGGUGUUCAGCUCAAUCCACUUUGCCUUCUGAAUGGGAAGUAUUUUUUUGUUCACACUGAAUUAUUUUGUGUAAUUUUGGUUGUACAGAAAAUGUUCAAUGGUGGGACAGUGCAAGUUUGGACUUGUAUGAACUUCUCAACGUGUUUGAACCAGGAUGUGAUCGUGUUCUGUCAACGGUUGGUAGACAUGUGCAAUAGAAAGGGAAUGGUAUGGUAAUGUUAAUGGUAUGGUAAUGUUAUUUGUUUUGCAAUUCAUGUUAGCAAUUUAGGUUAAUGGUCUCUCUGAACCGACUUUUUUCUUUUGGGGGGUCCGUGUUUAUCAUGCCAGGUAUUUAACUGCCGGCCUGUCAUUCCCAUAAGUUCAUACAACCCAUAUCAAAUUGAGAAGGCACUUGUAGACGUUCACAAUAAGACUACACAGCCAGGGAAACAGCUUCAGCUGUUGAUAAUUAUUUUACCAGAUGUUAGCGGAUCAUAUGGUGAGUGAUAAAUUUAAUCAAGGAUUAAACUUUAAUGUCAGCUUUGGUUUUGUUCAACAUUAUCGGCUUUCUGCUCGCAGGAAGAAUUAAGCGAGUUUGUGAAACGGAACUUGGGAUUGUUUCACAAUGCUGUCAGCCUAAGCACGCAUCCAGUUGCAACAUGCAGUAUUUUGAAAAUGUGGCUCUUAAAAUCAAUGUGAAGGUUUGCUUUGCCCCCAUUUUUUUGCGUGUUCAUUAUCAUGGUUAAUAUUUGAGAACCAAUACAAGGGUUGGCAGGAAAACAUGUAGGAGAUGAUUUUUUUUUUUUUUUGGCAAUUUAAUUUCAGUCUUGAUUUGCUGGAAUUAUUGUAUUUUUUUUGUUCAAAUAAUCAAAUUCUGAUGUUCAAGAUAUUUUUAUAAGUGUUUGGGAGUGCCAAAAUUUCUUGUUAAAAUUGAUAGGUUUGCUUAUUGGUACUGGGGAUUCAGUUUGCUAUUUGUAAUUUUAUCAGGUUGGAGGACGAAACACUGUGCUCGAUGAUGCUGUUCAGAAAAGAAUUCCUCUUGUGACUGAUAAACCUACAAUUAUAUUUGGUGCAGAUGUCACCCAUCCACAACCAGGAGAAGACUCUAGCCCUUCAAUAGCGGCCGUAUGUGCACUGAUUUUCUGUUUCUGCUUUCUAGUAAUUCACUCUGUUAAAAGAUUGAAUUGACUGAGAUAGGUGGUGGCCUCAAUGGAUUGGCCAGAAAUAACCAAGUACAGAGGACUUGUCUCUGCUCAGGCACAUAAUCAGGAAAUUAUCCAAGAUCUCUAUAAAUCUAUUAAAGAUCCUCAGAGGGGUUCAGUUCAUGGAGGGAUGAUCCGGUUAGUAGACAUGGAAGUACAUAUCAGGUGCCUUAUUAUUAAGAGAACCUUAUGCUUCUGUUUGUCUUUUACAGGGAACUGUUAAUUGCCUUCAAAAUAUCAACCAACCGUAAACCUGAGAGUAUUAUUUUCUACCGGUAAUGGUUGUUUUCAAUGUUAAACUGCAUGUUUUGUAGAAUGUUACUGAUGUUGUUUCAUUUAUGUGCCAGAGAUGGUGUUAGUGAAGGGCAGUUCAGUCAGGUUUUACUCCAUGAAAUGAAUGCUAUCCGGGAGGUAAUGCUGAUGAGUCCUGAAGUUAAUACAAUUUUCUUGUGUUCUAGAGAUUUUCAAUAUCUAGUUUCAGUUAAUUUCUUGUUGAUGACUUUUGUUGCAACAUGCUAAAUUGACUUAUCUCCAGGCCUGUGCCUCACUUGAGGAGGGAUAUGCGCCACCAGUUACGUUUGUUGUGGUACAGAAAAGGCAUCAUACUCGCCUUUUUCCUGGUGAUCACAACAGACGCGAUCUGACAGAUAGGAGUGGAAAUAUUUUACCAGGUUCCAAGUUAUCUUUGUAUUAUUAAUCUUUAUUUUCUAUUUGCGUCUUUUGAGUAUGCAUAAUGGCUGGGAACCAUGUUGUUGCUUAACCUUGUCUUUGAUGAAUAUUUUUGGGAUGUCCCUGUGUUAGGAACUGUUGUUGAUACUCAUAUUUGUCACCCUACAGAAUUUGAUUUUUACCUCAACAGCCAUGCAGGAAUUCAGGUUAAAAAAAAAAAUUAAGUUUGCUAUUUCAAUCCAGGUUAAAAAAAUAAAACAAUGUCCCCCCCCCCCCCCCCUCUUGAAUUUUUAAAUGUGUUGGACUGAUUAAGGUGUUUAUUCCAGGGAACCAGUCGCCCAACUCACUACCAUGUAUUGUAUGAUGAGAACCAUUUUACUGCAGAUGACUUGCAAUUGUUAACAAAUAACUUGUGUUACACGUAAUAUGUUUACCUUCUCUAUAAUGGGAUUUAAUAUUGCAUUGUUGAAGAAUUUAUCUUUCGAGUGGUUAUUUUGUAAGUUUUUGACUCGUGGCCCAUUUUCAGGUAUGCAAGGUGUACUCGAUCAGUUUCAAUAGGUCUGACCCUUGUACUUCUAUUGUUUUACUAAAAAUAUUGCUAGCAUUGAUUGAUUUUUUUUUUCUUUUUAUUUUUUGUAUUGGCUGUUUUCAUAUGGCAGUGCCUCCUGCAUACUAUGCACAUUUAGCAGCUUUUCGGGCUCGUUUUUAUAUCGAGGAUGAAACAUCUGCGGGUGGAUCCACAGGAGGGACUAGGAGCACGGCGGAGGGGAGUUUGGCUAUCCGGCCUCUUCCCGUCAUCAAGGAUAAUGUGAAAGAUGUAAUGUUUUACUGCUGAAAGUAGUCUCCAGCAUCAAUCCUCUUUGUCAUGGUUUUCAUCAAGGCUUGACGUGUUUUGGUAUAUGGAGUACAGCGUGGUGCCGUUUUUGGACAGUACUGUUAUUUUGGGAGUAGUUUCAAAUUGGACAUCAAGGGUAGAAACUGAUUCUCCUUAUGUUAAAAAUGUUAGCUGCAUAUUGUCCUGGUUAAUGCUGGUUAAUGCCUUGUAAAUUUAAAUGCCAAAAAACUUCAUUUCUUGGUGGGGUUAUUUGAUCUCACUGCACGCUUUUUUAAAUUAACAUUUUUGGACAGUGCUGAUUAUCUCACUGCACUCUUUUUUCAAUUAACAUUUUUAUUCUGAAAACAUAAUUGGAUCAAUUAUAUAUUUGAUCUUAUUUUCUCUCUCGAUCUCUUUCCCUUAACCAAAAUUUAUUGUAAUAUGUGAAGUAAGUAUUGAAUUUUCUAAUUAUUCAAAAAGUAAUAAAUUCAGCUCAAUGGUAAUUAGAAACAAGAUGAAAGAGACAAUGUUAAUCAUUUAGAAAUAAAAAAUAAGAGUUUUUAGACUGUUCUAAAUUUGUUAGAAUUUUGAGAAAGAUGAAGUUGAUUUUGGAGAGAAUAAAAUUGAAAAGUAGUUUAAGCUUUGAUCAUUUCUACAGUAGACAGAAAAAUUAGAGCCAAUUUGGGAUUGCGAAGGCAUAUGAAAUAAGCAGCUUAUGUGUUGUGCAGGUGAAAUAAGUUGUUGAUAAAAAAAGUAGUUUAGUGUUUGGAAAACUGUAUUGUUGUGGUUGCUAAGAAUUUGAAUAGUACAGUACAUGUGUUUGGUAAAUUAUAUUACGAAAGUAUUGUUUUAUUAUAUAAUGAGCAAAAUAGAUACAAGUUUUAAUUACUUUUUAUUUUUAAAGUAUGUUUAAUAGAUUAUUUAUACAUAUCUUUUUUCUUAUUGUUUUAUAUAUAAUGACUAAGAUAGACAUAAAUUUUAAUUACUUUUUAUUUUUAAAGUAUAUUUAAUAAAUUAUUGAGACAUAUCUUUUUUUCUUAAAUGCAUAAAAUUACAUUAAAAAACUCAAUUAAAAAAAUCUAUAGAACUUCAUAAUUUAUUACAAAAAAAAUAUGAUAAAAAUAAAGUUAUGAUUCAUAUAUUAGGGUUUAUAGAUAAAUAAAAUAUAAUUGUCUUUUUAUUAAAUUCUAGGGUUAUAAUAGGAAAUUUAAAAAGGUAUGGUAACUUAUUAAAUAAGCUGUUUAUAAAAAGUAAUUUGUUACCUGCUUUUAAAAGUUGCUGACAAAAUGGAAAAAAUUAUGAAAUAAGUUGAUUUUAUAAAAUUUUACAAACAUUAUUUUUAUUAAAAAUUAUGAAAUAAGCAGUUUAUUAAAUUUCAACUACAAUUCUAAACUGACCCUUGGUUAAUCAAAUAUUUUUUGUGACUUUUGAGAAUUAGUGAAUUAAAAUAAUAAAUUAUCAUAAAAAAAUGAUUUUUAGAAGGAAAAUCAACGUUUGCCUCAAUUGUUUGAUGAGGCGAAUGAUGCAUGUAUACGGUUGGGUACAUGCAGUUGUUUUUAACUAAGAUGUAUAAAUAGAUGAACAAAUACUGCAAAAGCGAAAGUAUUUAAUUAAAAAAUGUCAUAAAAAUUUCUUCAAAGCCGGUGAUCGUACUACAAGUACAUUUAAGCAGUCAGCAAGAGUAUUGAACUGUGUAUGCUUCCUUUUUUCAUUUCAAUUACCCGUUAUUCUUCUUGUACGGUGGCUUCUGAAUUACUUUCUUUACUUUUUGAGAGCUCAAGCAAUUCCGUUGCUUCUUCCACUUUUGCAGCCAAUGACUCAAAGUGAAUCCAACAGCACGAUCAUCUCGGAGAGAUCCAUUUCCAAAAUCAUCUCAGUAAUCUUUGGUGAAAGAUCACACUGUCCAAAAGUUACUUACAUGUAAAUAUCAUUAAACCAAAGCUUAAAGCAGGUGAAAAUUGUGAGUACAUUCGCAGAAGGUUAAAACUUCAAUUUACUCCCUUAUUUUAAAAGACAACCUACUACUUACCUCAAAAAUAUAAAAACAUCAAUUGAUGUCUUUUAUUAUUAAAAAGACAAAAAAAAAUAUUAUCAACACACUUUUCGUUUGUCCUAAUCUUUUGAACGAAAAUGAAAAUAAACUGAAGAUUAUCAUUUUACCCGAAGAUGAAUCAAAAUUGACCCUUCACAAAAAAAUAUGAGCAAUCACCUUGAGUUUCUUCACCAGCGGGUAGAGUCUUCGGCCAAGAAUAUCUUUCCUUUCAUUAGGGGAAGCAGCAGCAAGCAUGCUGCUCAAAUUUUCAUUGUAAGCAGCAGCUCUUUAAUUCCCAUUUGUCAGCUCUUUGAUUCCCAUUGGAAAAUUUAGCAUUGCCCAUUCAUCCUUCCUCCUCUAUAUUGCCUUACAGAAUUAGGAGCCUGUAAUACAAAAUUUUUAAUCCCAAAGUUAAGCAGAAGCGCAACAAUUCCAAAUACAUCCUAAACUUGAUUUUACGUUACCAUUAGAAACAAAGGAGAAGGAGGAGGAGGAGAAAAUCCAUUAGGAAUCAUGCCACCAUGCCUGAACCCUGGUGCUUGGUACACUUGUAAUGCACGUUGAUAAAGGGUCGGAUGCAUAGGAAAAAUGGUGCUACCAAGUCCUGGCCCUUGCUUUGCAUACAUCAUUCGUAGGUACGAAGUUCUUUCUCGCUUUGUUUGAGCAAUGGCCACAUACAAUGGCUUUUGAUGAAACAAGAUGCCAUUCAGAGUAUUUAUGGCUCGAUUGGCUUCAUCAGGAUUAGAGAAACACACAAAUCCGAACCCUUUGCUAAUACCUCGAUUAGUUCUCAUGAUCUUAACAGAGCUGAUAAUGCCACACUGGCUAAAAUAUUGUUUCAAUUCAAUUUCGUCAACGUCAUCAUUUAUGUUCUUCACAUACAAAUUUUUAUCCUACAAUUGACAAACAUCUUGAUUUUAGCAGGAUUUAACAAACGAAAAUAACGAUAUUAAUUAAGAGAGCAAAUAACCAAAAAAAAAAAAAACACCUUGUAUAAUUCAGCACGCUCUUUGCGCAUUCUCUCAAAUUAAGCGCGUAAAAUCGCCUUUCGUUCAGCUUUCUUCUGUGCAUUGUGUCUUUGGCUCUUUUAACAUCAUCUGGAUUUUCAAAAUUCACAAAACCAAAACCCUUUGAUGUCCCGUUAGCAUCUUUUGAGAUAACCAAACUUAUUAAUAUUUUUCCAAACUCGAAGAAUUUCUCUACCAAAAUCUCCUCAGUCACAUCAUCAUCUAAAUUCUUGACGUACAGGUUGUUAAAAAAAGCACUUUCUUGAAUCCCCCCAGCCCUUCUGAUGAAUGGACCAACAUAGCUGCCAAUUAAUGCCAGUGAACAUUAUUAAUGCGACAAAUAGUAGAUAAAUUAGCAUAUAUACAAAGAUGACACAUACAACUGUGGCUGGAUCCAAUAACUAAUUGCACCAUUGUUUUGCCCCUUUUAUAGAAUGUAAAAUUAAAAUUUACUAUUAAAAUUGUCAAAAACCACCAACAAAGUGUUGGCUCCACUGGCAAUGGAGUCCCCUUAAGUGACUUGACUGGGUUUGCUCCCUAGUUCGAGUCGCAGGGAAGUCGCCUUUGUUGGGAGAACCUGUGCCUCCCGGUUCGAGCGGGGACUUCUAGUCUGGGUUGUGGUACGGGCUUAAAGGUGCCUCCCACAGUUGGGGCCCUCCCCAGGAUACCUCGUGAUUAAUAUCAAAAAAAUUGUCAAAAACCAUUACGUGUGGCAAUAUUCAAAUCCGAAUUUAAAUCUGCAUUGAAAUUUUGAGAUAUGGAUCCACAUUUUUUUUUUAUUGGAUCUGAUUAAAGGAAAUAUUCGUAAAGAUUGCAGGCAUAUAUUUUGCAUAUCUAGAUUCGCAUGAUUCAAAAUUCAUAUAUAAUUUAAAAUUUAACAAAUUUGCCUAAUAAAAUCCAAUUAUAAUUGAACGAUCAACAAUUCAACACCUAGAAUAACAUUCAACAAUAUUAAAUUCAUAAAUAAAAAUACCAUAAAAUAAAUCAAACAUCAAAAAUAACAUAAAUUUAAGUCUAACACCACUACAAAUCCAUAAAUACGAACACCACAAGUCCACUUAGAUUCAAUUUAAAACCAUCACAAAUAAAAACACCACAACAAAUCUACACAAGUUUGAUUUUUUUAAAUUUAACAUAUAUUUUUUAUUCAAUUUUAAUGUAAUAAAUAAUUUAAUUAAAAAAUAAUGUGGAUCCAAAUAUUCAAUUUUCUGGAUGCAUUUGCAUCCGAAUCCGUACAUAUUUAUUUUUUGGCAUCCUAAUCUAUACUUUUCAAUAUGUGGAUCCAAAUCUUUACAAAUCUGGGUCGGAUCUAGAUUUUUUUACGAUCCCUACAAACAAUUACCAUGUUUGAUAGGUUAAAAAAAUAUAGGCACACGUUAGACAAUAGUAUAAAGUUAAGAGUAUUGGACUAUUCUUUUUAAAAUUAAAUCAGUCUUUUGUUUGGUGCUGCAAAGAUAAGUGAGGAUUAUGUACCUUAAGACCACACCAUUUAAUCUUGGACACAUACUUUUAUAAAGUAGAAUGAAAAAUUUUCCCAUAGGGACCCUAGGGAUAAUGUGGGAUAAUUUUUUUCAUGCCUAAAAAUAAUUGUAGAAUAACUACACAAUGAAAUAUCUAUAUCUAUUAUUACAUUAUAUUACAUUGAUUAAAUAUGUAUUUACUUCAAUAUUCAUUUUACUUAAAUAAUAAUAAAAAUGUUAGAAUUUAUAUUUUGUGUGUUUGUGUGUGUGUUUGUAUGUAUAUACAUACAUAUACACACAUAAAUGAUCAAUUACACACAUUAUUGUACGCGACGAGCCAUGUGUCAUUUAAUGAUUAGUUGUGUCGCACAUCUAAUUAUGUGUGUGCAUUAUAAUAUUAAUAAUAAUAAAAUAAAAACAACUUAAAUUAAUAUUCAGGUUUUUAAUUUAAUAUUUCGAAUAUUCGUAUUAUUAAAUUUAUAUUUAUAAAUUUACUCUUAUAAAUAAAAUACUUUUAAAUAUUUAAUAAUUAAUAAAUCAAUAGUAAUAUACUUUAUUUUCUUAUAAACUGUUUUAGUAAAAUCCUACAUAGUAUACCAAACAUGAGAUAAUAUUAAAUAUAAAUCCAGCCCAAUCUUAUUUUAUCCUACUAAACCCAAUAUAUUAUUACCCAUAAUCCAUCUUAUAAAAAAAAAAGUAAUUUAAGUUCUCGUGCUGACCGGAGGGAAACCUGAAAGGCGGAAAGCCUAGCUAUAGGGGUGUUCAGAAUCUAUUCCAAUCCGCUCAACCCGUCUGAUCCGUAAAAAUUUGAUCCGUGGAUUGGUGAAUUGGAUUGGAUUGAAAAUUUGAUAAUCUGCAAUCGGUGGAUUGGAUAUGAAUCUACUUCUAUAAAUCCGCAAAAAUCCGCGAAUCCGUAAAAAAAUAAAGAGUAUUUAUUUAAUUAAAAAAACUUGUAAAUAUGACAUUAUUACUUACUAGUAAAUAAAUAAGUUAAAAUAUAGUUAUAUUAACACUAUAUUAUAUCUUAUCCGAUGAUAAUAAAAAAUAAAAAAUAAACAAAUAAAUAAAUAAAUAAAGCUUCUUAAAUAGUUAAUUUCCAUGUGCUGAUAUAAACUAAUGAGAUUUUUUUCGUUUUGGUGUGUUAUAUUUUGAAACUUUAAAUGUAUUUUCUACCUUUAUUUAAACAGUUAAUUUAUGUAAAUCUUAUUUGAUUUUAAAUUUCAUCUGUAGUAAAAUUAUUUUUAUAUUAAUUUUUUUUAUUUAGUUAGUUUGUGGAUUUGACAAAAUUUAAAAUUUUUAGUCCGCAAAAUAAUAGAUUAGAUAUGGAUUAGGUCAAAUCCGCAUCCGAUCCACAGAUAUAUGGAUUGGAUUUGAAUUAAAUUUCACCAAUCCGUGGAUUGAAUUAGAUUAAAAAUUUAUAAUCUACAAAAUCAUGAAUCGGAUAUAAAUUAAUGGCCAAUCCAUAAAAUUCGAUUUGCGAACACUCCUACCUAGCUGAAGCUCUUACCUCAAUUUCCAGUUGAAAAUUAAUAAUUAAUAAUCACUAAUAAAAAAUUAAAGAUGAACGCUCACUAAUUAAUAAGUAAUUUAAGUUCCUUUUUAUUAUUUAUAGGGAAAUUUACACUAGUCUACCUGUUUGUUUUGCCUUUUUUAAAAAUACACAAAUAUUUUUUUUUUCAGUGCGCCACCUGAAGUUUGCUUUUUGUUGCAUUUUUCCACUUCCGUCUAAUUUCCGUUAGUGGAUUUAACGGAAUGUUAACGAAAUGACCUUUUUACCCCUCAAAAUUACAAUUUAACCUAAAAUAAAUGGAAAUUUGAGAUAAAUUGGAUGUAUUUAAAUUUUUUCAAAGGUGGAUGCUAGAAAUUGGAGGAAAAUAGUGUUUGUUGCUUGCUAAAUUUAGAAAAUUUGUAUUUAUUUUCUAAAUUUAGCAAGCAACAAACAUUAUUUUCCUCCAAUUUCUAACAUCCACCUUUGAAAAAAUUUAAAUCCAUCCAAUUUAUCUCCAAUUUUUAUUUAUUUUGGGUUAAAUUAUAAUUUUGAAGGGUAAAAAGGUCAUUUUGUUAAAUUUACUAACGAAAAUUAGACGAAAGUGGAAGAAUGUAACAAAGAGUGAAUUUGAGGUGGCGCGCUGAAAAAAAAAAAAAAGUAUUUGUGUAUUUAAAAAAAAGAUAAAAUAAACAUGUGGACGGUUGUAAAUUUUCUUUAUUUAUAUACACUUCCCAUCUUCCUCUCUCCUUCUCUCUGUUUCUUCUUAAGUCGUCGCUCUCUCGCUUUAUUUGUGUGACCAUCACUUCAAUUCGGUUCCUCAAAAUUUCCUUUCAUUUUACCUUUCUGCUUUCGACAAUGUCUCGACGUGGUGGCGGUGGUCGUAGGCCGGAUUCUCGCCGUGACCAGCCGACUCAGGCACGGGCGCCGUCAUUCCAGCGGGGUGGCGGCGGAGCCGCUGGACCACGCGGCCGAGGUCGUCAAGGUCAACGAGGGGGUGCUGGUCGUGGAUCGCAUUCCGGCUCCGGUGCAGCCCCGUCCUCACCGCACACCGCUUCGACUUCGACGGAGCCGGCUCCUUCGUCUCCGUCUGUUUCUGCUUCUGCUCCUUCUUCGUCUUCAGUCUCUACUCUUGUCGAAGAAACGGAGCAGAAACUGACAUUGGCGGCACCAGCGGCGGCUACACUUCCGCCUUCGUCGUCGCGGGCGGUGAGACUUCCAGUGAGGCCGGGAUUCGGAACCCGUGGCAGAAAAUGUGUUGUCCGAGCAAAUCACUUUAUGGUGCAACUUGCCAAGAGAGACAUUCAUCACUAUGAUGUAAGUCUACUUUUAAUUUUAACUUCGUUAUUUUUGAAAACGUUUUGACUCUUUUUAUUUUUUAUUUUCCAUUUUUCUCGUCAAUUAAGGUUUCAAUUGACCCAGAGGUGACGUCACAAAAGAUCAACAGACAAAUUAUUUCUCAGCUGAUUAAUUUAUAUCGGCUGACUAACUUGGGUGAACGAAUACCUGCCUAUGAUGGUAUGAAGAGCAUUUACACUGCAGGGCCGCUGCCUUUUGAAUCGAAGGAAUUCAUUAUCACGUUACCUGAUAGUGAUCCUCGUCCCAGCUCAUCUGCCAGCCCGGGGUAUCUCAUGCUUUUAACACGUGUGUUUCUUGAAUAUUGUUGAUUGUGAGUUUUCUUGAUUUAAUGUGUCGAGUGAUUUCUUAUGCAGAACGGAGCGUCAGUUUAGGGUGGUUAUCAGAUUGGCGUCGCAGCCUUAUGUUUACACUCUACAGAAGUUCAUACAAGUGCUUGAUGUUGUUCUCAGAGCAGCUCCAUCAGAGAAGUAUUUAACCUUAACUGUGUUAAUAAAAGUUUCACUUUUUGGUAUGUAUGAUAUAGGAUGUUCCGUGCCCAUGCCAGCAUUUGCUUGUUCAUGCAACUGAUUGAGCAUUUGAUUUCUGAGGAACAAUUUUAUUAUUGUCUAUUUUGUGCCUUGAACAAUUUAGGUUUUAGAAUGGUUAAUUAAUGAAAUGAUGAACUUCUGCAUCAGGCAUACAGUUGUGGGAAGGUCAUUUUUCUCAACUGAUCUUGGACCAAUGGGUCAGCUUGGUGAUGGCAUUGAAUAUUGGCGUGGAUAUUUUCAGAGUCUUCGCCCAACCCAAUUUGGGCUAUCUCUUAAUAUUGGUUUUUCUCAUUAUAUUUUAUAUAAUUUGAUGCUGCUUAUCUUUAUAUUAUCCAAGCUUGAUUUUUUCUUUUUUAGGUGCAGCACUGCUACAUAAAUAUUUGCUUUUGCUGUUGCAGAUGUUUCAGCCAGCUCCUUUUAUAAGCCAAUUCUAGUUACUGAGUUUGUUCAGUAUUAUUGCAGCGACUUAUCACGUCCUCUUUCUGAUCAAGUGCGUCUCAAGGUAUUGUCUAGUCUUCUUUCGUGAUGUCAUGGUUAUAAUUAAUUUAGUAUCAAUUUAAUGAGCUAUCUAUUGGGCGGUUAAAAGUUUUAAUUGAGGGCUGCAGCACUGUAAUAUAUUUGUGAUAAGAGCCUUUUCAAAGAAUGAUCACAGAUUUGUUAGGCAAACCGUUCAGUAAUGUUUUAGAUGCUGUGUAUAAUUUAUUGCAAGUAAUUAGUAGUUUAAAAUUUCAAAUUUCUUGCAAAUUUUGGAUAGGGUAAUUUCUUAAUUUGUGGCUGAACUGGUGGGUAGUGAGUAGUGUCUGUUGUUCUUGGCCAUUGAAAUCUAAAUAGAAUGAGCUCCCAAGUCUGAGGGGAAUAGAAUGUUGAUGACAGGGUUUGAUGAUCAAUGUAGGAAGUUGGUGUAUAAUUUGGCCUACAAUUCUGAUGAUAAAGAAAUGAGAUCUUGAAAUGGCGGUUUUAAAAAUCUUCCACGCAUUCAUUUGCAAUUGUACAGUUAUCUUGAUCAACUUAUUAUCAUUCCGUUACGUAUAUUAGCAAUCUUUUGAACUAUCUGUAAAAUUUUUACUUUCGAUCUAUUUUGGCCGCUAUUUGACAACCGCCCUUUAAUUAUUUUCAAAAUUAUUGCUGGGAAUGGGAUAGAGACAUGUGCUCAAUGAUAUUAAUAUAAUUGUUUAAUUCUUGACUUCUAGGUGAAAAAGGCAUUGAAGGGAAUAAAGGUAGUGCUCAGGCAUAUGGGGUACAACUUAAGUUGCAAGAUCACUGGAAUAACCAGUCAACCGAUGAGCCAAGUAAUGUAUGUGUGUGUGUAAUUAACUGAUAUACAAGUGUAAGAACACUGUCCAACUUGUGGUGAUAGAGUGUGAUAACAUAACUUGGUGGUUUGGUUGUGUUUAUGUUGGUAGAUUUGUUUAUGUUAGCUGAUUCUUGAGUCCCCCACGCCAUUUGAGAAGCAUACUUUAUGUUACCUGCUUUUGUCGUCAUCUGAAAUCCACAUAUGGUUAAAUUUGUCUUUUGUGUUGUAUUUUAUGUAUGAUUGAACUACUUGGUGGUAAAAAGUUUGGCGGAUGUGUCUCAAAUCAAUUUCUCAAAUCUGAUAUGUGAUAGUAGUUGGCUACUAUGUAGUGCGAUGGUCACUUGAUAUUGCCUGUAACAGUGAUGUAUCCCUCCUUCCAUGUUAUAGUAGGCAUUCACAUUAUAUCUUCCCUUUGAUUGUAUUUGCUAGGUUUACUUGUGACAAUGAGACAAGGUCGGUGGUUCAAUAUUUUCUUGAAAAACAUAAAAUUGCGCUUCAAUUCACGUCAUUGCCUGCCCUUGAAGCUGGAACUGAAGAGAGGCGCAUUUAUUUGCCAAUGGAGGUUCUAUGAUCAAAAGACUACUUUCGUUCUUUGUGUCUGGAAAAUAAUUUAUUUAAGACUUAUUUAUAGAAUAUUUUUGUUUACAGCUUUCUAGGAUACUCGAGGGACAGAGAUAUACUAAAAGAUUAAAUGAAAGACAAGUAACUGCUCUUUUAAGAGCAACCUGUCAGCGUCCUCAGGAUCGUGAAGCAAAUAUACACAUGGUAGAGCAUUGUUGUAAUUUCUUACAUCUGUGGUGGAUCUUUUUUGGAUGAUUAAUCUGGGAGCUAUCUUCUUGUGAACAAAGAGAGUUUCUGAUUCUUGCUUCUGGGUUUGACAUUCUUCUGCAGAUGGCUAGGGAAAAUGCUUACAAUGAAGAUACUCUUGUGAACAGAGAGUUUGGAAUUCAAGUGGUUGAUGGUCUUACAUCGGUUAAUGCUCGAAUCCUACCUGCUCCAAUGGUAAUUAUGUGUCAUUUUGUUUUAUUUGUAACAGGAUUAUGGUACUUCCAAUCUCCUUAUGCUUAACUUUACCUCCUGUAAUGCUGCAGCUUAAAUAUCAUGAAACUGGCCCAGAAGCAAGCGUGAAUCCUGAUUUUGGGCAAUGGAACAUGAUUAACAAGGUGAAUUACUGAUUAUUAUUUUAUUCUGUAGCUGUUGAUUUGUGCUUAGAAAGAGCAUAGGGAAGCAGUUUCCACUUGUUUAAAUUGGUUGAGGGAUGUUUAUUGACUGAUGGGUAGGAUGGGUUGGAAGUUGAUUUGCUACAUUUGAUGCAAUGUGGAUGUGCUGCAUUUCCUUUGCAACCAUUAUUUUUUUAUUUUUUUUUUCAUUUUAGCAUGCUGUAAUUUCUAUUUAGUUAUAUACUUUUUCAUCUUUGACAAGCAUUGUAUCUGAUAUUCACUUAGGUAUUUGGAUUGUAUGUGCUUGGUGUUCAGCUCAAUCCACUUUGCCUUCUGAAGGAGAAGCUUUUAUUUGUUUACACUGAAUUAUUUUGUGUAAUUUUGGUUGUACAGAAAAUGUUCAAUGGUGGGACAGUGCAAGUUUGGACUUGUAUGAACUUCUCAACGUGUUUGAACCAGGAUGUGAUCGGGUUCUGUCAACGGUUGGUAGAUAUGUGCAAUAGAAAGGGAAUGGUAUGGUAAUGUUAAUGGUAUGGUAAUGUUAUUUGUUUUGCAAUUCAUGUUAGCAAUUUAGGUUAAUGGUCUCUCUGAACCGACUUUUUUCUUUUGGGGGGUCUGUGUUUAUCAUGCCAGGUAUUUAACCGGCGGCCUGUCAUUCCCAUAAGUUCAUACAACCCAUAUCAAAUUGAGAAGGCACUUGUAGACGUUCACAAUAAGACUACACAGCCAGGGAAACAGCUUGAGCUGUUGAUAAUUAUUUUACCAGAUGUUCGCGGAUCAUAUGGUGAGUGAUAAAUUUAAUCAAGGAUUAAACUUUAAUGUCAGCUUUGGUUUUGUUCAACAUUAUCGGCUUUCUGCUCGCAGGAAGAAUUAAGCGAGUUUGUGAAACGGAACUUGGGAUUGUUUCACAAUGCUGUCAGCCUAAGCACGCAUCCAGUCGCAACAUGCAGUAUUUUGAAAAUGUGGCUCUUAAAAUCAAUGUGAAGGUUUGCUUUGCCCCCAUUUUUUUGCGUGUUCAUUAUCAUGGUUAAUAUUUGAGAACCAAUACAAGGGUUGGCAGGAAAACAUGUAGGAGACGAAUUUUUUUUUUUUUUUUGGCAAUUUAAUUUCAGUCUUGAUUUGCUGUAAUUAUUGUAAUUUUUUUUUUCAAAUAAUCAAAUUCUGAUGUUCAAGAUAUUUUUAUAAGUGUUUGGGAGUGCCAAAAUUUCUUGUUAAAAUUGAUAGGUUUGCUUAUUGGUACUGGAGAUUCAGUUUGCUAUUUGUAAUUUUAUCAGGUUGGAGGACGAAACACUGUGCUCGAUGAUGCUGUUCAGAAAAGAAUUCCUCUUGUGACUGAUAGACCUACAAUUAUAUUUGGUGCAGAUGUCACCCAUCCACAACCAGGAGAAGACUCUAGCCCUUCAAUAGUGGCCGUAUGUGCACUCAUUUUCUGUUUCUGCUUUCUAGUAAUUCACUCUGUUGAAAGAUUGAAUUGACUGAGACAGGUGGUGGCCUCAAUGGAUUGGCCAGAAGUAACCAAGUACAGAGGACUUGUCUCUGCUCAGGCACAUAAUGAGGAAAUUAUCCAAGAUCUCUAUAAAUCUAUUCAAGAUCCUCAGAGGGGUUUAGUUCAUGGAGGGAUGAUCAGGUUAGUAGGCAUGGAAGUACAUAUCAGGUGCCUUAUUAUUAAGAGAACCUUAUGCUUCUGUUUGUCUUUUACAGGGAACUGUUAAUUGCCUUCAAAAUAUCAACCAACCGUAAACCUGAGAGUAUUAUUUUCUACCGGUAAUGGCUGUUUUCAAUGUUAAACUGCAUGUUUUGUAGAAUGUUACUGAUGUUGUUUCAUUUAUGUGCCAGAGAUGGUGUUAGUGAAGGGCAGUUCAGUCAGGUUUUGCUCCAUGAAAUGAAUGCUAUCCGACUGGUAAUGCUGAUGAGUCCUGAAGUUAAUACAAUUUUCUUGUGUUCUAGAGAUUUUCAAUACCUAGUUUCAGUUAAUUUCUUGUUGAUGACUUUUGUUGCAACAUGCUAAAUUGACUUAUUUGCAGGCCUGUGCCUCACUUGAGGAGGGAUAUGCGCCACCAGUUACGUUUGUUGUGGUACAGAAAAGGCAUCAUACUCGCCUUUUUCCUGCUGAGCACAACAGACGUGAUCUGACGGAUAGGAGUGGAAAUAUUUUACCAGGUUCCAAGUUUGCUUUGUAUUAUUAAUCUUUAUUUUCUAUUUGCUUCUUUUGAGUAUUCACAAUGGGUGGGAACCAUGUUGUUGCUUCACCUUGUCUUUGAUGAAUACUUUUGGGAUGUUCUUGUGUUAGGAACUGUUGUCGAUACUCAAAUUUGUCACCCUACAGAAUUUGAUUUUUACCUCAACAGCCAUGCAGGAAUUCAGGUAAAAAAAAAAAGAAAAUAAGUUUGCUCUUUCAAUCCAAAUUUUAUUCAUCCAGACUUGUUAAACAAUGUCCCCCCCCCCCCCCCCAAAUUUUUUAAUUUGUUGGACUGAUUAAGGUGUUUGUUCCAGGGAACCAGUCGCCCAACUCACUACCAUGUAUUGUUUGAUGAGAACCGUUUUUCCGCAGAUGGCUUGCAAGUGUUAACAAAUAACUUGUGUUACACGUAAUUUGUUUACCUUCUCUAUAACCGGAUUUAAUAUUGCAUUGUUGAAGAAUUUAUCUUUCGAAUGGUUAUUUUGUAAGUUUUUGACUCAUGGCCCAUUUUCAGGUAUGCAAGGUGUACUCGAUCAGUUUCAAUAGGUCUGACGCUGUGUACUUCUAUUGUUUUACUAAAAAUAUUUUGAGUCAAUGAAUUAUUAUUAUUCUGGCUAGCAUUGAUUGGUUUUUUUUUUCUUUUUAUUUUUUGUAUUGGCUGUUUUCAUAUGGCAGUGCCUCCUGCAUAUUAUGCACAUUUAGCAGCUUUUCGGGCUCGUUUUUAUAUCGAAGACGAAACAUCUGCGGGUGGAUCCACAGGAGGGACUAGGAGCACGGCGGAGGGGAGUUUGGCUAUCCGGCCUCUUCCCGCCAUCAAGGAUAAUGUGAAAGAUGUAAUGUUUUACUGCUGAAAGUAGUCUCCAGCAUCAAUCCUCUUUGGUAUAUGGAGUACCAGCGUGGUGCCCUUUUUGGACAGUACUGUUAUUUUGGGAGUAGUUUCAGAUUGGACAUCAAGGGUAGAAACUGAUUCUCCUUAUUUUAAAAUGUUAGCUGCAUAUUGACCUGGUUAAUGCCUUGUAAAUUUAAAUGCCAAAAAACUUCAUUUCUUAUUUUAAAAAUGUUUCUGAUUCUCCUUAUUUUAAAAAUGUUAGCUGCAUAUUGUCCUGGUUAUUUGAUCUCACUGCACUCUUUUUUAAAUUAACAUUUUUAUUCUGAAAACAUAAUUGGAUCAAUUAUAUAUUUGAUCUUAUUUUCUCUCUCGACAAAAUGGAGAAAAAUAUUAAAUAAGUUGUUUUUACAAAAUUUAACAAACACUAUUUUUAUUAAAAAUUAUGAAAUAAGCAAGUUAUUGAAUUUCAAUUGUAAUCUUAAAUUGACUCUUAGUUAAUCAAAUAUUUUUUGUGACUUUUGAAAAUUAGUGAAUUAAAAUAAUAAACUAUAAUUAAAAAAUGGUUGUAAGAAGGAAAAUUAAAGUUUGCCUCAAUUGUUUGAUUAGGCGAAUGAUGCAUGUAUACGGUUGGGUACAUGUAGUUGUUUUUAACUAAGAUGUAUAAAUAGAUGAACAAAUACUGCAAAAGCGAAAGUAUUGAAUUAAAAAAUGUCAUAAAAAUUUCUUCAAAGUAUUAAACUGUGUAUGCUUUUUUCUUUUUUUUUUUUUUACUUUCAAUUACUCGUUAUUCUUCUUGUACUGUGGCUUCCGAAUUACUUUCUUUACUUUUCGAGAGCUCAAGCAAUUCCGUUGCCUCUUCCACUUUUGCAGCCAAUGACUCAAAGUGAAUCCAACAGCACGAGCAGCUCGGAGUGAUCCAUUUCCAAAAGCAUCUCAGUAAUCUUUGGUGAAAGACCACAUUGUCCAAAAGUUACUUACAUGUAAAUAUCAUUAAACCAAAGCUUAAAGCAGGUGAAAAUUAUUAGUACAUUCGCAGAAGGUUAAAACUUCAAUUUACUCCCUUAUUUUGAAUAACAAUCUACUAUUUACCUCAAAAAUAUAAAAACAUAAAUUUAUCUCUUUUAUCAUUAAAAAGACAAAAAAAAAAUAUUAUUAUCAACACCCUUUUCGUUUGUCCUAAUCUUUUGAACGAAAAUGAAAGUAAACUGAAGAUUAUCAUUUUACCCGAAGAUGAAUCAAAAUUGACCCUUAACAAAAAAUAUGAGUAAUCACCUUGAGUUUCUUCACCAGCGGGUAGAGUCUUUGGCCAAGAAUAUCUUUCCUUUCACUAGGGAAAGCAGCAGCAAGCAUGCUGCUCAAAUUUUCAUUGUAAGCAGCAGCUCUUUAAUUCCCAUUUGUCAGCUCUUUGAUUCCCAUUGGAAAAUUUAGCAUUGCCCAUUCAUCCUUCCUCCUCUAUAUUGCCUUACAGAAUUAGGAGCCUGUAAUACAAAAUUUUUAAUCCCAAAGUUAAGCAGAAGCGCAACAAUUCCAAAUACAUCCUAAACUUGAUUUUACGUUACCAUUAGAAACAAAGGAGAAGGAGGAGGAGGAGAAAAUCCAUUAGGAAUCAUGCCACCAUGCCUGAACCCUGGUGCUUGGUACACUUGUAAUGCACGUUGAUAAAGGGUCGGAUGCAUAGGAAAAAUGGUGCUACCAAGUCCUGGCCCUUGCUUUGCAUACAUCAUUUGUAGGUACGAAGUUCUUUCUCGCUUUGUUUAAGCAAUGGCCACAUACAAUGGCUUUUGAUGAAACUAAGAUGCCAUUCAGAGUAUUUAUGGCCAAUACUAAGAUGCCAUUCAGAGUAUUUAUGGCUCGAUUGGCUUCAUCAGGAUUAGAGAAACACACAAAUCCGAACCCUUUGCUAAUACCUCGAUUAGUUCUCAUGAUCUUAACAGAGCUGAUAAUGCCACACUGGCUAAAAUAUUGUUUCAAUUCAAUUUCGUCAACGUUAUCAUUUAUGUUCUUCACAUACAAAUUUUUAUCCUACAAUUGACAAACAUCUCGAUUUUAGCAGGAUUUAACGAACGAAAAGAACGAUAUUAAUUGAGAGAGCAAAUAACGAAAAAAAAAAAAAAACCUUGUAUAAUUCGGCACGCUCUCUUUGCAUUCUCUCAAAUUAAGCGCGUAAAAUCGCCUUUCGUACCGUUAGCAUCUUUUGAGAUAACCAAACUUAUUUAAUAUUUUUCCAAACUCGAAGAAUUUCGUACAGGUUGUUAAAUGAAGCACUUUCUUGAAUCCUGCCAGCCCUUCUGAUGAAUGGACCAACAUAGCUGCCAAUUAAUGCCGGUGAACAUUAUUAAUGUGACAAAUAAUAAAUAAAUUAGCAUACAUACAAAGAUGGCACAUACAGCUCCAUUCCUUCAACGGUAGCAGCAUAAAGCUUCUCAAUAGCAUUGAGUGCAGAUUCUGGCGUUGAGUGUUGGACAAAGCCAUAGCCUUUGCUUUUCCCAUCUUGAGACACAACAACCUUGGAGGACUGAAUGUCUCCGAAUUUGGAAAAUAUUUGAUGGAGCUUCCAAUUGUCUAUUGUACUAGCCAAGUUCUGCCAAGUGUGUGUAUAUAUAUAUAUAUAUAUAUAUAUAGGAAACAGCAGACAAAAUGAUGAUCAACUAACUAAGGUAGCGUUUACUUUUUGGAUUGGAUUGGGAAUCUUGGGGAGUGGGAAUCCUAGGAUUGGGAGUGUGGAGUGGGAGUGGGAGUAGGUUGUUUACUUACACUUGAAUGGAAGCAUGGAAUGGAGAUCAGAAUCCAAUUUAUGUGUUUACUUUGUCUUGGAUUGGGAGUAAAUAGUUUCAAAUUACAAUUUUAUCCUUAUUUAACGAAUUAUAAUUUUUAAUUACAAAACUAAUAAAAAAUAUAUUUAAUGAAUAAUAUUUAUUUUAUUAUAUUUGUAAAUUUAUUAUAAUUAUUAAUAUUCUUAAUUAUGAACAAUAAAUUAUUAAUUGUAAUUUUAAUAUAAAAUGAAAUGUUAUUUUAUUUUAUUUUAUAUAAUUAUAUUAAAUUUAUUAUUAUAUAAAAUAAUAAUAUAAUAUUAUUUAGUACAAAAUUAAUAUUUUCUUAUAAUAAAGUAUUUAUUAUUAUUAUUAUUAAAUAAAUAUAGUACUAUUAUUUUUAAAAUAAAUAUAAUAAUAUUAUAUUUAUUAAUUCUCUAUUAAUAUAAUAUUAUUAUUUUAAAAUAAUUUUAACUUAGAAUCAAUGUAAAUUAUUAUUUAGUUAAAUAUAAUAUUAUUAUUUAAAUAAAUAUAAUAUUAUUAUUUAAAUAAAUAUAAUAUUAUUUAUUUUAUUUUAUUAAUUAUAAAACAUAAAAUAAAAAAAAAGGGUAGAAAUGGGAGAGGUGGGAGUGGAUUCCUACUCCCACCUCCCCCAAUGGGAGUCCCACUCCCACUCCCCACUCCAAAAAUGGGUGGGGCCCACGGAGUGGGACUCCCAAUCCCUCCCCAUUUUAAGUAAGUAAAUGCUGGAGUGGGAGGAAUCCACACUCCUCACUCCCACUCCAGCAAGUAAACACAACAUAAAUGUUUUCAUAUCCCAUGAAAAUUUUUUGUAAUUAAUUACCUUAACGAACACUUUGCCAACUCAAUCUGGCUUCAGAAUUGGGUGUCGACUACAUUACUCUAAUUGCUUUACCAUUCAGUAUUGUAUAAUUCAAUGCCUCUAUAGCCUUUGUUGCUGAUAAAAAAAUAAUAAAAGUUAAAGACGUUCAUUAGGAAUAUAUUUCAAUUGUUAUGAAAGUAACCCAGCAAAUCGUUUCGAAUUUAAUUAGGAGAACAAUGUCGCGUAUCGCUUUUUUUUUUAUAUUAUUACAUGAGACCAUUGUUCAAGAGUACAAUUCAUAGUACAUUAGAUUACAAUUUAUAUUUACAAAUCAAAUUAUUAUUGGGACUAGUUCACAUCAAUUCUUAUGAACCACUGCCCAAAAUUUUACUCUCUAUAACAUUCGAAGGACGUUUACUCCACGCACAUUUCGAAAAGAAGAAUACUGUGUUCACUCAAUUAAAGAAGGAAAUUAAAUUCUCACAAUACAUUGUGGGAGCUUAAACCCAUGACUUCACAAUUGUAAGGUUUGGAUUCUAACCACUAGGCUAAAGCCUAGUGGCUCGCCCCAUGUAAGGGUUUUGAUUAACGCUCUUGACCAAGUCCCAAACUUGUAGCCCUAACUCUAAUUAACAUUUCCUGAAACCAUAGGGUUUAGUCAAGUUGUUUUCAAGUAAUUUUAUUUAACUGACUAAUCAUUGCUCUAGUUCAAAUUCUGGGAAAGACAGAUGGUUAAAGAAUAGAUUGGUGUACGUUCUGUUUCCCGUAUUAUGGAAUUAUCUGCAAUAAUUCACUUUAUACAACAAAGAGUUGUACACAUAUAACUAGAAGUACAUAUUUGAUUCAAUUAAUUUUACGUAGGUAAUUAAAAUAGUUUUAGGAAAAUAUGUAUAUAUAAAUUAUGAACAUGCAUGCACGUACCACAGUGAAAGGAAUGAAAGUUGGCGUAGCCAUAGCGGAGUGAACGUCGAUGGAAGCUAUCAACGCAGAGCAUAGCCGAAGCAAGUCCUUCGAGUUUUGAGAACGAGAAGGUCUGAAUGAGCUGUUGUUCUGUUACUGUGGAGUCGAGGUCUCCAACGUAGAGCGAGAACAGUGUCCCCAGAAUUGCAGAGUCAUUAUUAUUAUGAGCACGAAGAGAAACUUCCAUGUUUAAGGAAUGAAUCAAUAUCAGAGAUGACACAAGAUUAAUUGCUUGAGUUCAUCAGAGCAACAAACUAUGUGUAUAGUUAAUUAUUUAUUAAGAACAUAAUUAAGAAGUUGUGAUAACGUGUAAUUCCUUUCCUCUUUAGGAAUUAGCUUUCUUAUUGAAUUCUGAUUUUAUUAUAGAAGAAACGACUAUAAGGGGGUGCCAAGCUUAAGCCCGCGCAUUGGCGGAAUGCAGAAGCUACACUAUCUCUCUCUAUAUAUAGUAGAACCUCUAAAUAGACAUACUCUAUAUAGGAAUAAUCUCUUCAUGGUAAUAAAAAAUUGUGAUCACAACUUAAAACCAGUUAUAAUUAAGAAUAAACUCUAUAUUGUAAUAAGUUAUAUUUUUUAUAGAUCCCGUCUUAAAUAAACUUACCUUCACAUAGUAAUAACAUUUUAAAAAUAUAUGUCAUGUUACGUUAAAUAAUUAAGAGAGAACAAAAAUAUAUGCUAUGUUACGUUAAAUAAUUAAGAUAGAACAAAUAUAUUUUUAAAGUUGCAACCACAUCUUUCAACUUGCAGGUAUGUAUUAAUUGGUCAGCAUAGACAUUUUCUUGUUAAAACCAAAAUAUUUCUAACUUCUCAAAUAAAUUAAACUGUCUUUAGUAAUAAAUUACAUUAGAAACAUUUUAGUGACAUAAAAUUUUAUUAAAAUGUAAAUAAUCCACUUGCUACGAAUCUUUUUAUGUUUGACUCGAAAAGUUUCGGUAACUUUCUUGUCAAAAAUAAAAAAUAACAACUCGUUUAUGUUAUUCGAUUCCCUUUCAAAUGCAAACAAAAAGACAAAUUCUUGACCAAAGUCAAUUAAGUUGGUAGCUUGGUUAUUUGAAUAGGAGUCUUGACAUGCUUCGUUAUUAAGAAUUGUCAUCAUUCUUCUUUCCAAAAAGGAAAUAAGGAAAAAAAAUAAUAGUAGAGCGAAGAAACAAAGAAAACUAUGAUUCGAAGUCAAAAGAAUUCAAUUUUUGAUGAUCAGUAUUCGUUUAAUCUUUAUAUUUUAAAAUAUAUCUUAAAAUAUUUUUGUUGUUAAUUAUGUUACACUUUUUAGUAUUGCAUUUUAUUUGUUUUGACAGUAAAACAUUAAUAAAAAUAAAUAUUAAUUUAUCGAAUUAAAUGUAAAGGUAAAAUAAUGAUAAUACUACUAUUAUUAUUUAUUUUAUUUGUAAACUAUUAUUAUUUUUACUUUUGUGGUUAAUUAGAUAAAUAACAUAUUUAAAUCUUAUUAUUGUAUUGUUACAAUAAUAUAUUAUAUUAUGAUAAUUUAAUAUAUUUAAAUUAAUAAAUAAUAAUAAUAUUUUUUUUUUGCAAAUUAUUAUUACUUUUUUAUGGUUGAUUCAAUAAAUUAAUAUAUUUAUUUUCUUUAAUGUAUUAUUACAAGAGUAUUAUUAUUGUAGAAACAAAUAAAAUGUAAGAGUAAAGGGUGUAACAUAAUUAACAACAAAAAUAAUAAAUUAAUAUUUUUAUAUUAAUAUCUCCAAGAUUGUUACAAGGUAUUAUUGUCAAAGCAAAACAAAAGUAAGGACAAUAAUAAAACAUAUUAUAAUAUCUAACUAUAGUAACUGAACAUAUACUUAACCUAAAAUGUAAUAUCUAAAUGAACACUUUACCUACUUGAUUAACAUAAUCAUAUAUACAUAAUUUAUAGUCAUGUAAUGUGCCCUUGAUAAAAACUUAUGAUAUAAUAAUAAUAAUAAUAAUAAUAAUAAUAAUAAUAAUAAUAAUCUUACACCAUCUAUCAGUUAAUGACAAGUCACGUGUCGUAUUAUUUAAGAUCCAUUACGUUUUUUUAAUUAUGUAUUGAUAGUAUUAUUAACAAAACAAUUAUUAUUAUUUUUUCCUUCCCCUAGCUUCCACUAUUUUAUCUAUUUAUUUUUAUUUUUAUUUAUUUUUAUUUGGAAUGAAGCUUCCACCUUAAACAAACGAAGAAAGUGCUGACCAGCUGGUAAGAUUCCUAAAAAGUGUAAGCAAGACGACGCACUUUCGAUUGUUGAAAUGAAUCAGAAGAGCUAAAGCCGUUUCUUUAUGCGUUCCUUAAUGUUGUAGAUGUAGUUCUCUUUUUUCUUUUUUCAUAAACUUGCACCCACAUGGAGGUAAGCGAAACUGGCUUUUGCCUUUCGUUCGUUCAUCAAAUUUUAAUAUCACUUAUUACGUCGCUUAAUUGAAAUCUCAUGUAUUUAUUUAAAAAAUAAAAAUAAAAAAUUAAGAAGUUGAUACAAAUAAAUGAGAAGAUAAAAAUUAGUUGCAUUAAUAAGAUAUUUUAUUUUCAAGUGAGUUUUUAAUCAAAGAUUCUCAAUUUUAAAAAUUAAAAAAUAAAUUAUUAUAUAUUAAAAUUUAUUGAUAACAUAACAUCUUCAAAAUGUUCUAAUAUUUUUUAUAACAGAACAUGAAACUAAAUAAUUUGGUGAUCGUCAAAUAAUUUUUAUUAAUUUAAAAAAAAUAAUUAAUACACUCUUAAAAUAUUAUAAUAAUUUUUAUAACAAUACAUCCAUAAAGUAUUCAAAUGAUAAUAUUAUUAAUAUUUAUUGAUAAUGGCACCUCAAAGUUCAACUCUAAUUGCUUCUGAGCUACGCAAUUAAGUAAAGUAAAUACCAAGAAAGUCACAUCAACGCGCUUUGUGACACAACAACAUGACGUUUAAAGAGCCUCGCGGCAGAUGCAAAUAUCGAUUGACUGAAAAGAAAGCUCAAAUUGACAAUUCGUUUAGCCCAACAGUUUAAAAUACUGAGUGAGAUCUUGGCAUAAAACAGUGAAAGCUAAAGCAUAAAGAAAAGAAUGUUUAAGGAAAAGAGAAAAAAAAAAAAGAGAAUGAAGAAGAUGCUUUAUCUCUCUUUUUGCGUCAUUUAGAACGCAUGCCAACCAUGCACGUCCACGUCAUUUUAAUCCACGAAGAGAUAGAUAGAUCACUAACAGACAGAGUCAAUAUAUAUUCUUCAUGUCAAUUAUGGCGAGAGCUUUUCCUUUUUCUUUGGGACACAUGGUCUGUGAGGUAUGCUCGCGGAUAAAAUUCAAAUUAAUUUCUUUGACCUAUAUCUAAAAUAUUUAGGAUUUAAAUCGGUUAAAUAAAUCAAUUUUAAAAAUCACUCAAAUUAAUCCUCUUAAAAAUAAGAGAGCCAUGUUUACUUUAGGAGACCACUGAUAUUAAAUUACUAAAAUGAUAACAUCAAAAUAAAAUUGGUAUUAUUGUUCGUGCCGUCACAAUACCAUUGUAGUACACAAAAUGACGACAUUGUUCAUACUAAAAUACUUUUCUUUUCUUGGUAGUUAAAUAUUAUUUUUCUUUUUUAUUACACGUGAAAGUAUUUUUAUUAUUAGCAAUAAACAUGCACAAUAAGAAGUGAACAGAAAUUAACAAUAUUUUAAAUUUAAAUAAUUAUCGUAGACUCUCGUAGACUUAGCUAAACUUUUACUGCAUGCGCGCGCACACACACAACAUAAAAAUGACACCGCGAAUUAAAAAAACUGUAAAUUUUGCGAGGGCUCGAUUUUAAAUUUGCACAGAAAUCAGACAAAUUUCAGAUCAGUCCCUUAUGUUUCUCUGAAAUUUAUUCCAUCCCCCCCCGACUAUCGAGUACAAGGCGCCAUCAUAUCCUCUGUAGCAUUUCUAGAAUCUUGGAAGUGGUCCCGCGCAUUUAGUCCAUCGAUCCUUGUCACCUGAUGGGAGUAAAACUCCUCGGUCAAAAGGAUUUGGUAUUCUCGCGGGCCCCACAAAGGAAAUUAAAAAACUAAAAAGCCAAAAAUAGGCUGCGCAUAGAAUACCAUGAAGCGGAAGUCCCUUCCUUCGGAAGUUGUUUGCAAGAGAAGACUUGGAAAUUAUCUACAACGUGCUAUCCCACCGUGUCUCCCGUAGACGCCAGCUUCGAUUGAUCCAUCCCAACUUUGUCUUUAUCAAAUUAUAAACGUCCCGAAGAAGCCCUCUUCGCUCGACACGUGCACGUGCAUCAAAGGUUUCGUGUUAGCUUUGCGUUAUUUGCGAUUUUAAAGAAAGUGCCGUUGUACGGUUCUGCUGUUCCUUUAUCGCUUACGUGUAAAAGGCCUUGCUGACUCCUCGCAGACAGCCCCACUGAACUCUUUCAAUUUCUUAAAAAAAUAUAAAGUAAUGGAUACCGACUUGGCAAAACGGAUGCGCACAUGUGCUUGAGAAAUCAGAUUCCCAACCCCCCCCCCCCCCCAACAGUAAAAGCGUGACCAAAUACUAUCGAUUUUUAAUAAUUUUUUAUUAAAAAAUAUAUAAUUUUCUUUACGUUGUGUGAAUGGGGUCCACAGGCGGACAGCCAAACUAGAUGCCUUGGGAAUCGUCAACCCUUCGGGCUGGAAAACGCCCCAAUUUUAAGAAGGAGCGCCGCCUAAAAGCUAUGAUUAACUUGUCGUCAUACGCGCCCAGGGAAAGCGUGUGUGGGAGCAAAUAUUCAAACGCCGGGACUAUUGGACACGUGUGAUAGUUUAAAGAGGCCGUAGCUCUGAGCUUUGCAGGAAUAAAAGGCUGAUGGUUCAGCACGCGCUCAUGGAAAAUUUUCACUCGUUCCAAAUUCCAAUCACCUUCUGUUCUUCCACAGCGACUAUGUCCAUUGACCCCCAGACACCUGAUGAUUAUUUUGGCGGUCUUUUUUCAUUUCACAAAUUUUACCCUUUGCCAUCUUCACCUGGUGGGUGAAAUUUGAUUUUUGGGUACAAUGCAAAGUGGAUUUAAUCAUAAACUUCUUGAAUUAGAAUUAGAAAAAAUAUUCACCGCCUAUUCAUUUUUUUUUUAAAUAUACAAUUUUUUUUUUUGAAUCCACCUAAAAUUAUAUUUUGUUUUACUUUUUCACUUCUGUUUGAAGUUCGUUAAGAAAACUAACUGAAACUUAAAAAAUGACCAUUUUACCCCCAAAACGAAAAUUAUAAUUUCACCCUAAAAAAUACCAAAAAUAAUAAGAUUUAAUGAUGAAUAUCAUUAUUGGUACGUUAAUGAAGUAUAAAAAAAUCUUAACUACUAGAGAUUAUAACUCAAUGAAUAAUAAAAUUCCACUUAUUUUAAAUUCAAUUGAUGGUUUGCGAGAUUGAGCUAUUUUUAAUACUACUGUUAUAAUUUAGUAUUCUAAUUACAGACAUAUUUAAAAAAAAAAACCUUGCAUUUAAAAGUUGUGGAAUUAAUUUCUUUAUUGACCGAUGAGGAAAAUAAUUAGAUUUAAUUUGAUUAUUUUUGGUAAUUUUUAGGGUGAAAUUAUAAUUUUCGUUUUGGGGGGUAAAAUGAUCAUUUUUUUAAGUUACCGUUAGUUUUCUUAACAAAUUUCAAACGAAAGUGGAAAAGUGAAACAAAAUAUAACUUUAGAUGGAUUCUAAUAAAAAAAAAGAAUUGUGUAUUUUUGAAAAGUUAAAAAAAAUGGGUGAACGAUAAAUAUUUUUCCUUAGAAAUAUUAUCUGGAGGGUAAUCAUAAGUUUGGUCCUUUUACAGAAUGUAGAUUUAUGGUGGUGUUUUUGUUUGUGAUGGUUAAAAGAAUAUAGGCACGCAUUAGACAAUAGUAUAAAGUUAAGAGUAUUGGACUAUUCUUUUUAAAAUUAAACUAGUCUUUUGUUUGGUGCCGCAAAGAUAAGUGAGGAUUAUGUACCCUAAGACCACACCAUUUAAUCUUGGACACAUACUUUUAUAAAGUACAAUGAAAAUUUUUAUCCCAUGGGGACCAUAGGGAUAAUGCGGGAUAAUUUUUUUCAUGCUUAAAAAUAAUUGUAGAAUAAUUACAAGAUGAAAUAUCUAUAACUAUUAUUACAUUAUAUUAUCACAUUAAUUAAAUAUUUAUUUACUUUAAUUUUCAUUUUACUUAACUAAUAAUAAAAAUAUUAGAAUUUAUAUUUUGUGUGUUUGUGUGUGUAUAUGUAUGUAUAUUGUGUGUAUACGUAUCUAAACAUAUACAAAUGAUCAAUUGCACACAUUAUUGUACGCGAUGAGCCAUGUGUCAUCUAAUCAUGGUUGUGUGGCACAUCUAAUUAGGUGUGUAUAAUAAUAAUAAUAAACAACUUAAAUUAAUAAUUAGGUUUUUUAAUUUAAUAAUUUGAAUAUUCAUAUUAUUAAAUCUAUAUUUAUAAAUUUACUCUAAUAAAUAAAUACUUUUAAAUGUUUAAUAAUCAAUAAAUCAAUAUUAAUAUACUUCAUUUCUUAUAAAUGAUUUUAAUAAAAUCCUACAGUAGACCAAACAUGAGAUAAUACUAAAUAUAAAUCAAACCCAAUCUUAUUCUAUCCUGCUAAACCCGUCUUAUAAAAAGAAGUUAUUUAAGUUCUAAUGGCAGCGGGAGCUGGAAACCUGAAAGGCCGGAAGCCCAGCUGAAGCUCUUACCUCAAUUUCCAACUGAAAAUUAAUAAUUAAUAAUUAAUAAUUAAUGAUGAACGCUCAUAAACAUAAAAAUGAACGAUCUUUCCUUUGCCCUCCAACGGGAGCAACUGAGCAAGUAGUAAGUGGAACCUCGCCACUUUCCUUGCAAAACGGGAGCAAGUAGCAAGUGUGUAGCAGUUACGGCAACAAAAGCGCGUGCUACAUUUACACGUCAUUAGUAUAAAAAGCUAGGGGUAAAUUCGUCAGAGAACCAAACAGUCGCCAUAUUGCCGCGAAGCAAUAAAAUAAAAAGAAUUUCCAUUGCACGCCUUGCAUUUAAUUCGAUCACUCUCUCUCUCUAUGUGUUAAAUCUUGGUCCUUAUUAUUUAUACACACGCCCCCUCUUCCUCCUUCCUUCUCUCCGUUUCUUCUUAAGUCUGUCGCUCUCUCGCUUUAUUUGUGUGACCAUCACUUCACUUCGGUUCCUCAAAAUUUUCUCUCUCAUUUCACCUUUCUGCUUUCGACAAUGUCUCGACGUGGUGGCGGUGGUCGUAGACCGGAUUCUCGCCGUGACCAGCCGACUCAGCCACCGGCGCCGUCAUUCCAGCGCGGUGGCGGCGGAGGCGCUGGACCACGGGGCCGAGGUCGUCAAGGUCAACGUGGGGGUGCUGGUCGUGGAUCGCAUUCCGGCUCCGGUGCAGCCCCGUCCACAUCGCACGCGGCUUCGACUUCGACGGCGCCGGCUCCUUCAACUCCGUCUGUUUCUGCUUCUGCUCCUUCGACUCCGUCUGUUUCUGCUUCUGCUCCUUCGACUCCGUCUGUUUCUGCUUCUGCUCCUUCUUCGUCUUCAGUCUCUACUCUUGUCGAAGAAACGGAGCAGAAACUGACAUUGGCGGCACCAGCGGCGGCUACUCUUCCGCCUUCGUCGUCGCAGGCGAUGAGAUUUCCGGUGAGGCCGGGAUUUGGAACUGUUGGCAAAAAAUGUGUUGUCAGAGCAAAUCACUUUAUGGUGCAACUUGCCGAGAGAGACAUUCAUCACUACGAUGUAAGUCUACUUUUAAUUGUGUUAUUUUUGAAGACGUUUUGCUGUUUUUAUUUUUUAUUUUUCGUUUUUCUCGUCAAUUUUGAUUUUAUUUAAGAUUCACCAUUCGUGAGCGUCGAAUUCGAAGGUGUCGGGGUUUUGUUGAUAUUUUAAAAAUAUGUUUAUUCUUUUGCUUAUUUAUUUAUUUAUUUUUAAGGUUUCAAUUACUCCAGAGGUGACGUCGAAAAAAAUCAACAGACAAAUUAUUUCUCAGCUGAUUAAUUUAUAUCGGCUGACUAACUUGGGUGGACGAAUACCUGCCUAUGAUGGUGUGAAGAGCAUUUACACGGCAGGGCCGCUGCCUUUUGAAUCAAAGGAAUUCAUUAUCAAGUUACCUGAUAGCGAUCCUCGUCCCAGCUCAUCUACCAGGCCG